This 464-nucleotide ribosomal RNA is filed under the name Dothiorella viticola. RNAcentral's name for it is "eukaryotic LSU rRNA". It matches the Rfam family "Eukaryotic large subunit ribosomal RNA", at positions 87 to 555 of the family's 3401-position model. Lineage: Eukaryota; Fungi; Ascomycota; Dothideomycetes; Botryosphaeriales; Botryosphaeriaceae. The record is from RNAcentral.
CGGCGAGUGAAGCGGCAAUAGCUCAAAUUUGAAAGCUGGCCCCUUUGGGGUCCGCGUUGUAAUUUGUAGAGGAUGAUUCGGCGAGGGCUCCCGUCUAAGUCCCCUGGAACGGGGCGUCAUAGAGGGUGAGAAUCCCGUAUGUGAUGGGUUGCCUUAGCCAUGUGAAUCUCCUUCGACGAGUCGAGUUGUUUGGGAAUGCAGCUCUAAAUGGGAGGUAAAUUUCUUCUAAAGCUAAAUACCGGCCAGAGACCGAUAGCGCACAAGUAGAGUGAUCGAAAGAUGAAAAGCACUUUGGAAAGAGAGUUAAAAAGUACGUGAAAUUGUUGAAAGGGAAGCGCUUGCAGCCAGACUUGUCCGCAGUUGCUCAGCCGGUCUCCUGACCGGCGUACUCUUCUGCGGCCAGGCCAGCAUCAGUUCGGGCGGUCGGAUAAAGACCCCAGGAAUGUAGCUCCUCUCGGGGAGUG